RNAcentral lists this long non-coding RNA (1067 nucleotides) under Trifolium pratense (red clover). Its description in RNAcentral is "long non-coding RNA (TPRA_LNC004538)". The record is from RNAcentral. Lineage: Eukaryota; Viridiplantae; Streptophyta; Magnoliopsida; Fabales; Fabaceae.
CAUAAAUUUUGUCGAAUCACUCUGCAAGAUGGACCAAUAAAAUGUUGUGCCAAUUAUAGGUUACUGAUUUACAAUAACAUUGUUGUGUAAUCAUAAUUGCAGGCACUUUUCUGUCAUUGGGAAAGAAGAGAGGUGAUCUCAAGAUUUUAUGGACAAGAGGAGAACCAGAAAGACCUUGUCCUCAUCAUAGUCAAGAAGACAAUUAACCAAUCAAACAGACUUGUAUGUUUAGCUAUAUAUUAGUUUAUAUAGGAGAGUGAUAGUAACUGUUGGAUAUUUUCGAAAAUAUAUUUGAAAGGUUACAAUGGUUAAUUUGAAAUUCAAAUUUACAAUUUUGAAAUCCUUUCAUAGGUUGUGUCCCUUCAUCAUUUGACAUAAGUUUCUCUAUAAAUAGAGACACUUAGGAGGCAUAAAACAUAUCAGAAAAUCAUGUUUCCAUGAGUAAGAAAUUAUGCCUAUAAUAUCUAAAUCAUUUCUUCAUUUGUCUAGUGCACGAGAGUAUUUGAAGAAACUUUAUUCUGUAAAAUAUCAUUAUUUGAUAUGCUUGAUAUGUAUGUGCAAUCCAUGUCAAGGUUUCCAAAGUAUCCUGAAGGGGAUUCGCCGGUUAACCCUUUUGCAUCCAGUUUAUGGUGGGGGCGAAUCGAACCUAAAGUUUAGUGUGAUACACACGCUUUGGAAUUUGUGCAAUAUGUUCUUCAUGUUCUUCAUCAUCAUCUUCUUGUUCGAGUAUUUGCAGCAGUUCCCCAACACAUUGUUCUAACAGCAACUAUUUAGGAGAUUGUGUUAACAUAUGUAACAAAAUUCCAGCCAAAUGGUUCUACUGUGUGCUGUAAAUUUUAUUUUUUUUCUUCUGAGAUAGGUCAGAAGAUUAUUUAAGAGAUUCUAUAUUCUUGUUGACGGCUUUGUUUCAAUGAGAAUCUUCUCCAAUACCAGGUCUUGCAAAGAGAAAUAACAUUGAGAAGCUCCAUUCAAAAGAGAGAAGACUAAUAAAAGGCUUGCUUACAUUGAGAAGCUGCUAAAUACUGAGUCAUAACUUGUAUUGUAAUGUAAUAUUAUUGUGAAUUNNN